Molecule: non-coding RNA, 24 nt
Filed under: Arabidopsis thaliana (thale cress)
Lineage: Eukaryota; Viridiplantae; Streptophyta; Magnoliopsida; Brassicales; Brassicaceae
Source: RNAcentral
UUGUAGGUGACAACAUUAGGUCUA